Leptonychotes weddellii (Weddell seal) is the source of this 586-nucleotide non-coding RNA. The record is from RefSeq and is a predicted model, not a curated record. NCBI's taxonomy places the organism in Eukaryota, Metazoa, Chordata, Mammalia, Carnivora, Phocidae.
CCCCAGGGUCAGCUGGGCUUCCCGACACGGACAGAAGCCCCAUCCCAGCCUGACCCCUAUGCUGAGGUGUGGAAGGUGGUGGUGCGCCCCCCUCCCGCCCCACAUGAAACAGGUGCCUUAAGCUGAGGCCCGGCGAGGGGGAGCGUGGGUUGGAGCCCCUGGAUCCCCGGUCCCAGCAAGUGAGCAAGGCCGGAAAGGGAUGCACAGGGUCGGCUCUGUCGGCUGGCCCGACCCUUCCACCCUCCUCCAGCGCAAUCCCAUAAGCUAGUCUGCUUGAGUCAGGGCGGGCAGGAGAAUUCUCCGUUGUGUGGUCUGGACCGUGCCCUGUAGGACAUUUAGCAGCAUCUGUGACCUCUACCCACUAGCACAGGGGCACCCCCAGCUGUGACAACCAGAAAUGUCUCCUGGCGUUGCUGAAUGUCUCGGGAGCAGAGCCGGCCCCCCUGGAGAGCGACUGUCUUACACGAGCAACACUCUCCCCUUCAAUCUCAAGUGCAUGCGCUCCAGGAGCUCGGUCUCGGAGCGGCUGUUAAGAACAUCUGCCCAGGGCGCCUGGGUGGCUCAGUUGGUUAAGCGACUGCCUUCG